CUUGAAGGCAAAGCUUAGUGUACAGAUCUCAUGUUUGUCUGGCUUCUGUCACCGAAUAAUUGACGGUUUCAGGAGUUGACUAUGUGUAUUCUUGGAAUUUUACCAUGAGCGGUAUUUAACAUGGUCACCAGGUGUACACACAAGUACGUGCAUCUUGUCAUUCAAAUCAAAUAUGAUUCCUUAUCAAGGUUUGCACAUUUAUCUGCAUUUACGGUGCUAUAUUUUAAUAUUCAGUUCUCAUUCAUAAUGGACACUUUGUCUAUACACCUUCUAUCUAUGUAUGGAUUGAUAUGUACAGUAGUUAA
Molecule: long non-coding RNA, 305 nt
Organism: Erigeron canadensis
Lineage: Eukaryota; Viridiplantae; Streptophyta; Magnoliopsida; Asterales; Asteraceae
Exons: 2
Source: RefSeq, a predicted model, not a curated record